GGGCGGAUGUAGCCAAGUGGAUCAAGGCAGUGGAUUUGUGAAU
Molecule: transfer RNA, 43 nt
Filed under: Richterago discoidea
Lineage: Eukaryota; Viridiplantae; Streptophyta; Magnoliopsida; Asterales; Asteraceae
Description: partial tRNA-His
Source: RNAcentral